AGGAUGAACGCUAGCUACAGGCUUAACACAUGCAAGUCCAUGGGCAGCAUUUUAGUUUGCUUGCAAACUGAAGAUGGCGACCGGCGCACGGGUGAGUAACACGUAUCCAACCUGCCGAUAACUCCGGGAUAGCCUUUCGAAAGAAAGAUUAAUACCGGAUAGCAUACGAAUAUCGCAUGAUAUUUUUAUUAAAGAAUUUCGGUUAUCGAUGGGGAUGCGUUCCAUUAGUUUGUUGGCGGGGUAACGGCCCACCAAGACUACGAUGGAUAGGGGUUCUGAGAGGAAGGUCCCCCACAUUGGAACUGAGACACGGUCCAAACUCCUACGGGAGGCAGCAGUGAGGAAUAUUGGUCAAUGGGCGCGAGCCUGAACCAGCCAAGUAGCGUGAAGGAUGAAGGCUCUAUGGGUCGUAAACUUCUUUUAUAUGGGAAUAAAGUUUUCCACGUGUGGAAUUUUGUAUGUACCAUAUGAAUAAGGAUCGGCUAACUCCGUGCCAGCAGCCGCGGUAAUACGGAGGAUCCGAGCGUUAUCCGGAUUUAUUGGGUUUAAAGGGAGCGUAGGUGGAUUGUUAAGUCAGUUGUGAAAGUUUGCGGCUCAACCGUAAAAUUGCAGUUGAAACUGGCAGUCUUGAGUACAGUAGAGGUGGGCGGAAUUCGUGGUGUAGCGGUGAAAUGCUUAGAUAUCACGAAGAACUCCGAUUGCGAAGGCAGCUCACUAGACUGUCACUGACACUGAUGCUCGAAAGUGUGGGUAUCAAACAGGAUUAGAUACCCUGGUAGUCCACACAGUAAACGAUGAAUACUCGCUGUUUGCGAUAUACAGUAAGCGGCCAAGCGAAAGCAUUAAGUAUUCCACCUGGGGAGUACGCCGGCAACGGUGAAACUCAAAGGAAUUGACGGGGGCCCGCACAAGCGGAGGAACAUGUGGUUUAAUUCGAUGAUACGCGAGGAACCUUACCCGGGCUUAAAUUGCAACAGAAUAUAUUGGAAACAGUAUAGCCGUAAGGCUGUUGUGAAGGUGCUGCAUGGUUGUCGUCAGCUCGUGCCGUGAGGUGUCGGCUUAAGUGCCAUAACGAGCGCAACCCUUAUCUUUAGUUACUAACAGGUCAUGCUGAGGACUCUAGAGAGACUGCCGUCGUAAGAUGUGAGGAAGGUGGGGAUGACGUCAAAUCAGCACGGCCCUUACGUCCGGGGCUACACACGUGUUACAAUGGGGGGUACAGAAGGCGGCUACCUGGUGACAGGAUGCUAAUCCCAAAAACCUCUCUCAGUUCGGAUCGAAGUCUGCAACCCGACUUCGUGAAGCUGGAUUCGCUAGUAAUCGCGCAUCAGCCAUGGCGCGGUGAAUACGUUCCCGGGCCUUGUACACACCGCCCGUCAAGCCAUGAAAGCCGGGGGUACAAGAAGUACGUAACCGCAAGGAG
RNAcentral lists this ribosomal RNA (1423 nucleotides) under uncultured organism. RNAcentral describes it as "16S ribosomal RNA". It matches the Rfam family "Bacterial small subunit ribosomal RNA". The record is from RNAcentral.